GUAAGGAGUUUUCGGCAAUGGGGGGAACCCUGACCGAGCAACGCCGCGUGAGUGAUGACGGCCCUAUGGGUUGUAAAGCUCUGUUAUAAGGGACGAACAGCUUUGCUAGGAAAUGAGCAGAGUCUGACGGUACUUUAUCAGAAAGCCACGGCUAACUACGUGCCAGCAGCCGCGGUAAUACGUAGGUGGCAAGCGUUAUCCGGAAUUAUUGGGCGUAAAGAGUGAGCAGGCGGCAGAUUAAGUUUGAGGUUAAAGCGUGGGGCUCAACCCCAUAAAGCCUUGAAAACUGAUCAGCUAGAGUACGAGAGAUGUGAAGGGAACUCCAUGUGUAGCGGUGAAAUGCGUAGAUAUAUGGAAGAACACCAGUGGCGAAGGCGCUUCACAAGCUCGAAACUGACGCUCAGUCACGAAAGCGUGGGUAGCAAAUAGGAUUAGAAACCCUAG
RNAcentral lists this ribosomal RNA (444 nucleotides) under uncultured bacterium. RNAcentral's name for it is "partial 16S ribosomal RNA". It matches the Rfam family "Bacterial small subunit ribosomal RNA", at positions 354 to 790 of the family's 1533-position model. The record is from RNAcentral.